GGGUUGUCCUUCAAGACUGAGAAACAGUGCGCUGACCGAUCCUAACCAUGGAUGACCUUGUAUCGCACCAUGUUAUAGCAUAUGUAGCUGGUAGAAUGUUUCAGAUGGCAAACCCGAGACUUUUACAUGUUUCGUGGACAGGUAUAUAGCGGCACAAAUCUUGUGUACGAGUGAUAGUGCCUGUUUGAAACAAUAGCUCUUGAAUGCGUAUGCUGCAUGGAGGAGAAGUAAUGAACGCAUAAGAUCAGAACAUCUGUAUCUUUGACUUUAUUAUUAUUUCCUAAACCGUUGAUUCCUUUCACACCGAACUCUUUGUCUACAUGAACAGCAUGUAAAAUCAUGCGAGUAUUUGCUUCAUCGGGCGUACAAAACAAUUCUUAAAACCUGAAUACUCCUUCUGAGCAGAUUUAGGAUCCUUGGAAGUGCUAGCUAGAUAAAUGACUUCCUUAUAUAUCAUAGUAACUGUUGAUCUACCAUGAUGCUGAACAAUCGCCAAGAAAUCUGAUUAAGGCCUACUGGUUCUCACUGACUCAAAGAAACUUUUUCCAGACAGGAAUUUGACGACCUUGUAUAUAUGACCUGACACUUUUACAGACGAAAACUUAAUUCAGCUUUAAAAUAACUGCAUUGGUCUGCUAGUGUAAGAUUUAUAGCAAGAAUGGUGGUACAA
RNAcentral lists this long non-coding RNA (670 nucleotides) under Mytilus galloprovincialis (Mediterranean mussel). The record is from RNAcentral. Lineage: Eukaryota; Metazoa; Mollusca; Bivalvia; Mytilida; Mytilidae.